GAGCGAACGGAUCAGGAGCUUGCUCCUGAANAUGUGAGCGGCGGCUGGGUGAGUAACACGUGGGUAACCUGCCUGUAAGACUGGGAUAACUUCGUGGAAACCGGAUCUAAUGACGGAUAGUUUCUUUUCUCGCAUGAGAGAAGAUGGAAAGAUGGUUCUGCUAUCACUUACAGAUGGACCCGCGGCGCAUUAGCUAGUUGGUGAGGUAGUGGCUCACCAAUGCGACGAUGCGUAGCCGAUCUGAGAGGGUGAUCGGCCUCACUGGGCAUGAGACACGGCCCAGACUCCUACGGGAGGCAGCAGUAGGGAAUCUUCCGUAAUGGACGAAUGUCUGACGGAGCAUCGCCGUGUGAGCGAAGAAGGCCUUCGGGUCGUAAAGCUCUGUUGUUAGGGAAGAACAAGUAUCGGAGUAACUGCCGGUACCUUGACGGUACCUAUCCAUAAAGCCACGGCUAUCUACGUGCCAUCAGCCGCGGUAAU
RNAcentral lists this ribosomal RNA (480 nucleotides) under uncultured bacterium. RNAcentral's name for it is "bacterial SSU rRNA". It matches the Rfam family "Bacterial small subunit ribosomal RNA", at positions 64 to 524 of the family's 1533-position model. The record is from RNAcentral.